AAAUUAUGUACUUCCAUUAUUAUAUAAGAUAACUAAAACCUUAAACUUGGGGUUUGUUCGUAAAGAUACCAUUUUCUCAUAAGCCACUGCAAUUUACAGGUAUCAUUUUAUUAUUCAAGAACAAGUUUAAAACUCAUACAAAACGAAAUGAGAAAAUGAAUUACAAUUGAAACCCGCUAACAGCCAGUUUUAUAAUACAAAUAUAAAAGAGAAGUAGCUCAUUUCUACUGGAUUCUUCAGAGUAAGCCCUCCUUGUGUAUCCAUGGUUGCAGCCGUUGAGCCUUCACAUCUCGGCUCCCUCUUAGAGAAAGCAGGCUAGAUACCAAUUACUGAAAAACAAAAAACUCACACAGUAAUCUUCUCAUUGAGUUUAGAUGAACAAAAGAGCAUUCAAUUGACAAUAAAUAAAGGACUCUAAAUAUGAGUGGUGAUAUGUCAAGAUGGCCGGUUAGUACGCCAUUACGACGAAAUUGAAUUCCGAAAUUCAUUUCAAGAGUAUCUUUUUAUUAGAAACCUAUUAAUUUAGUUCUUGUUAAGGCCUUCAUAGAGACAUCCGAUAUCAUAUGUCAACACGAAAAUUUCAGACAUAUGCUUGUCUAUAUAUCAAUUAUUAAUCAUCGGCCACAUAAUUUAGAAAAUAAAAUUGUUUUAACCAAUAAAUAGAAGAUUUUCACUUUCAAAGGAAAAAAAAAAAUUUAAUAAAGAUCACAAGAAAUCAGAGGUAGAUGAUAAGGGUCAUCAGAUAGGAGCGAAAGACUAGAAGUUUAAAUAAUCACAGAUUAAUCAUCUGAACUAUGCUGAAAAAAUCAUCACUGACCCCAAAAAAAAAGAGAUUUUAGAUUGCAAAAUUUAAUACCUCAGAAGGAAGGCAGUAGUGGUAUUGUAAUCACGAAUUUUCAUAUGUUACAAAAAUCACUAUAUCAUUCGUCAUUGGCAUUUGAAAAUUAAUUAGAAAUCUGUUUUCCAUUUUCUCAGCAACCAAACAAGGAGAACGAUACAAGAAAGAAAAUUGAGAGAUCAGCCUCAUAGAGAAGAUUAGUCGGAUCCACAUGGAUUGAUUCAGACAUAUGCUUGUCUAAAUUUUAGUUUAUAAUCAUUGGCAGAUCCGGUAAGUAAAUUCAACUUCAAAACAAAAUACAAACCCUAAUUUUGAAAUUUGAAAAAGAAAAAAGAGUAAAAACUUUGAUGAGUGAAAGAAAAGAAAUUAGGGACUCAGAAUAUGGGUGGUGAUAUAACAGGAUGGUCGGCAAGGCUAAUUCCUUAACCAGUUACGACGAACGAGACCUUUCACUGCGGAAUCUUCACCGUCCCAUACAUCAAUCAAUCAUAAAAUUUCAAAGAACACAAAAUUAAAAAAAAAAAAUUAAAGAAUCGCCAGUGGAUAAGAAAUCCCAACCAGCUUAACUGCAAGCGACUUUGACAGACACUACCUCAUCUUCUGAUUCUUGUUUCGUUACCUGAUACUUAUAUAGAGACGCGAAGGGGGGGAGGCGGGGAGCUAGGGUUUCUUUGACGUUAAAAAUUUUGUAGGGUUUAUCUAGGUAUUUAAGAGUAUUAGCAGGUGUAUGGUUAUUGGGUUGUAUCGCUCGUGAUGGACUUGCGUGGAUGGUCUUUGCCUAAUUAGCCUUAAGC
Molecule: long non-coding RNA, 1632 nt
Filed under: Citrus maxima (pomelo)
Lineage: Eukaryota; Viridiplantae; Streptophyta; Magnoliopsida; Sapindales; Rutaceae
Description: long non-coding RNA (CMAX_LNC003897)
Source: RNAcentral